Long non-coding RNA from Stylophora pistillata, 1462 nucleotides. RefSeq lists it as uncharacterized. The record is from RefSeq and is a predicted model, not a curated record. Lineage: Eukaryota; Metazoa; Cnidaria; Anthozoa; Scleractinia; Pocilloporidae.
ACGUUUUCAAACUUUCUUUUUAUCUUUGUAGUUGAUGCUGAAUCUAUUGAAAAGUAUUUGAUCCAACAGAAUAAACAUAUCAUUUAAUGCCGUGUCGUGCGGCGUCGUGACUACCAAGAGCUAGUAUUGUGUGCGUGAUAGAUGGGUUUUUCUAUUCGGUUGACUUUUUUCGCCUACGCAUCUUCAUUAACAAAUGAAACAAAUGCAAAUACUGUUGGGUCCACUAAGAAAUUAAUAAUGCCUCAGAGGCUGAUAUCCGUGUUUGAUAUAUGAGUCACGGCAUAUAUUCGAGGGAAAAUACUAAGCUGAUGAGAAAUGUACCGCUCGUGUCGUGAUAGUCCAAAGUAACCAGGAGAAAAGUGGCACUGAAAGGACAUGGAAAUAAACAUGAACUUUUUAUACAUUGUAAGAGUAUGUAAGAUCGCCAAAGUGAAGGCUUUCUAUCUUGUAAAGAUCUCUAGCAACUGACGGACGGAUCACUCGCUUGCCUUUCAUCUGUUUUUAUUUGAACAAGUAGAUCUAAAAGCUCAAGUGAUGUUUCUACCCAUUACAGCAAAUUGGAAAUGUCAUCUUGGAUGGAGAUGUUUAUAUGUUGGUCUGGAAAACGGUGAGAAGAAGACACCUGAUUAACCUGAAGUCUUGCCAUGACUGUCAAUUAUUAUAAAUUUUCUCUAAUGUGAAGGCGGACGGAGGCGUUGAAGCAGAAGAACCUUACCAAGCUUCGAUAAGAAGGAAAAGGGCACCAAGUUGAAUCCUGGGAACUACAGGAAAUUAACUGGUUUUAAGAGUUUUUAACUCAACGAGUCUAGAUAUUCAUUGGUCAGUUUUCACUAAGGCUAGAGUGGAUAUCAAGCGAUCUUUCAAACUGUUCUUAACGUAGCACAGGAAGUCUAACAACUGUCAUUAGAUUGCAAUUUGUAAUCUUUGAAACACAACAGCCAGGCGACAGUUAAAAUUCAAGGAUUUAGAAAGAAAAAUCAUGGUUGCCUUUAAAAACUGUUUCUAUGAUUAAGGAAGAGUAAGAUGUACGUCUCUGCAGGAAAUUUAAGACCAUCUGCUGAUAAUAUGAAUUGUGUUUAGUUUGUUUCCAUGACACUCAGACCAAAGCCGGUAAUUUUGGUCAGAGGGUAAUUUGAAAACAAGAGGCCGGGCUUAAAGGAGGUGAAAAACCAAAUAGAAACAAAAGACUGAUGGUAGAAAAAAAUUGUAUUGUGAGACGGCCAUUUGUAAUUAUGUGCGAAGCCGGAUCUCCUAAGUUGAAUAUUAUAUAUUUCCUUGUUGAUUGUACUUAUUCAACACUCCACAACACCAUAUCUUUACUGUGGAGAGAUCCAUUACGUGUCCUACCCAAGCAACUUGAUAAUUGAUGAAUUUUCUCAGUUUUAACCCAAGUUUUAUUCAAUUCAGGUACGAAAAUGUAAAAGAAAUAUACACCUCAAUAUUAAAGGUUCCCGAAAUGCGA